RNAcentral lists this ribosomal RNA (506 nucleotides) under uncultured bacterium. RNAcentral describes it as "partial 16S ribosomal RNA". It matches the Rfam family "Bacterial small subunit ribosomal RNA", at positions 29 to 523 of the family's 1533-position model. The record is from RNAcentral.
AGUGAACGCUGGCGGUAGGCCUAACACAUGCAAGUCGAACGGCAGCACAGGAGAGCUUGCUCUCUGGGUGGCGAGUGGCGGACGGGUGAGGAAUACAUCGGAAUCUACUCUGUCGUGGGGGAUAACGUAGGGAAACUUACGCUAAUACCGCAUACGACCUACGGGUGAAAGCAGGGGACCUUCGGGCCUUGCCGGAGUGAAUGAGCCUAUGUCGGAUUAGCUAGUUGGCGGGGUAAAGGCCCACCAAGGCGACGAACCGUAGCUGGUCUGAGAGGAUGAUCAGCCACACUGGAACUGAGACACGGUCCAGACUCCUACGGGAGGCAGCAGUGGGGAAUAUUGGACAAUGGGCGCAAGCCUGAUCCAGCCAUACCGCGUGGGUGAAGAAGGCCUUCUGGUUGUAAAGCCCUUUUGUUGGGAAAGAAAUCCAGCUGGCUAAUACCCGGUUGGGAUGACGGUACCCAAAGAAUAAGCACCGGCUAACUUCGUGCCAGCCGCCGCAGUAA